GGUUGCGAUUAUACCAGCACUAAUGCACCGGAUCCAAUCAGAACUCCGCAGUUAAGCGUGCUUGGGAGAGAGUAGUACUAGGAUGGGUGACCCCUUGGGAAGUCCUCGUGUUGCAAUCUU
Molecule: ribosomal RNA, 120 nt
Filed under: Helianthus annuus (common sunflower)
Lineage: Eukaryota; Viridiplantae; Streptophyta; Magnoliopsida; Asterales; Asteraceae
Source: RNAcentral